Molecule: ribosomal RNA, 305 nt
Filed under: uncultured bacterium
Lineage: Bacteria
Description: bacterial SSU rRNA
Rfam family: Bacterial small subunit ribosomal RNA
Source: RNAcentral
GCCCUACGGGACGCAGCAGUGGGGAAUAUUGCACAAUGGGGGAAACCCUGAUGCAGCGACGCCGCGUGAGCGAAGAAGUACCUCGGUAUGUAAAGCUCUAUCAGCAGGGAAGAAAGUGACAGUACCUGACUAAGAAGCCCCGGCUAACUACGUGCCAGCAGCCGCGGUAAUACGUAGGGGGCAAGCGUUAUCCGGAUUUACUGGGUGUAAAGGGGGCGCAGACGGCAGCGCAAGCCAGGAGUGAAAGCCCGGGGCCCAACCCCGGGACUGCUCUUGGAACUGCGCGGCUGGAGUGCGGGAGGGGG